UGGGGAAUAUUGCACAAUGGGCGCAAGCCUGAUGCAGCCAUGCCGCGUGUAUGAAGAAGGCCUUCGGGUUGUAAAGUACUUUCAGUCGGGAGGAAGGUGUCAAGGUUAAUAACCUUGGCAAUUGACGUUACCGACAGAAGAAGCACCGGCUAACUCCGUGCCAGCAGCCGCGGUAAUACGGAGGGUGCAAGCGUUAAUCGGAAUUACUGGGCGUAAAGCGCACGCAGGCGGUUGAUUGAGUCAGAUGUGAAAUCCCCGGGCUUAACCCGGGAAUUGCAUCUGAGACUGGUCAGCUAGAGUCUUGUAGAGGGGGGUAGAAUUCCAUGUGUAGCGGUGAAAUGCGUAGAGAUGUGGAGGAAGACCGGUGGCGAAGGCGGCCCCCUGGACGAAGACUGACGCUCAGGUGCGAAAGCGUGGGGAGCAAACAGG
This 429-nucleotide ribosomal RNA is filed under the name Chloroflexota bacterium. RNAcentral describes it as "Chloroflexi bacterium partial 16S ribosomal RNA". It matches the Rfam family "Bacterial small subunit ribosomal RNA", at positions 355 to 776 of the family's 1533-position model. Lineage: Bacteria; Bacillati; Chloroflexota. The record is from RNAcentral.